Molecule: long non-coding RNA, 234 nt
Filed under: Elaeis guineensis (African oil palm)
Lineage: Eukaryota; Viridiplantae; Streptophyta; Magnoliopsida; Arecales; Arecaceae
Description: long non-coding RNA (EGUI_LNC046147)
Source: RNAcentral
CCUAUAAUAUGAUUUAAUAUGCACAUAAGAUCUAAAAAUAAAAAUCUAUAUUGUUCUAAUCGAUGCUACGAUCUAGAUCUUACCAUUAGAUCUAUCAAAAAUGAUCAAUCAAGUUCAGAAACCAUUAUCAAAUUGAAAACUCUUGAUCUCUACUGGUCCAAUGCUUGGAUAGGUGCUCCUUCAAGUUGCUCAUAGCUACAUAAAGUCGUCUGACGUCUACAUAAUAUCUACAUG